RNAcentral lists this ribosomal RNA (629 nucleotides) under Paenibacillus polymyxa. RNAcentral's name for it is "bacterial SSU rRNA". It matches the Rfam family "Bacterial small subunit ribosomal RNA", at positions 915 to 1533 of the family's 1533-position model. Lineage: Bacteria; Bacillati; Bacillota; Bacilli; Caryophanales; Paenibacillaceae. The record is from RNAcentral.
GGGGACCCGCACAAGCAGUGGAGUAUGUGGUUUAAUUCGAAGCAACGCGAAGAACCUUACCAGGUCUUGACAUCCCUCUGACCGGUCUAGAGAUAGACCUUUCCUUCGGGACAGAGGAGACAGGUGGUGCAUGGUUGUCGUCAGCUCGUGUCGUGAGAUGUUGGGUUAAGUCCCGCAACGAGCGCAACCCUUAUGCUUAGUUGCCAGCAGGUCAAGCUGGGCACUCUAAGCAGACUGCCGGUGACAAACCGGAGGAAGGUGGGGAUGACGUCAAAUCAUCAUGCCCCUUAUGACCUGGGCUACACACGUACUACAAUGGCCGGUACAACGGGAAGCGAAGGAGCGAUCUGGAGCCAAUCCUAGAAAAGCCGGUCUCAGUUCGGAUUGUAGGCUGCAACUCGCCUACAUGAAGUCGGAAUUGCUAGUAAUCGCGGAUCAGCAUGCCGCGGUGAAUACGUUCCCGGGUCUUGUACACACCGCCCGUCACACCACGAGAGUUUACAACACCCGAAGUCGGUGAGGUAACCGCAAGGAGCCAGCCGCCGAAGGUGGGGUAGAUGAUUGGGGUGAAGUCGUAACAAGGUAGCCGUAUCGGAAGGUGCGGCUGGAUCACCUCCUUUCUAUGGAGA